Molecule: ribosomal RNA, 253 nt
Filed under: uncultured bacterium
Lineage: Bacteria
Description: partial 16S ribosomal RNA
Rfam family: Bacterial small subunit ribosomal RNA
Source: RNAcentral
GACGUAGGGCGCGAGCGUUGUCCGGAUUUAUUGGGCGUAAAGAGCUCGUAGGCGGCUUGUCGCGUCGACUGUGAAAACCCACGGCUUAACUGUGGGCUUGCAGUCGAUACGGGCAGGCUAGAGUUCGGUAGGGGAGACUGGAAUUCCUGGUGUAGCGGUGAAAUGCGCAGAUAUCAGGAAGAACACCCGUGGCGAAGGCGGUUCUCUGGGACGGUACUGACGCUGAGACGCGAAAGCGUGGGGAGCGAACAGG